Molecule: non-coding RNA, 73 nt
Organism: Aedes albopictus (Asian tiger mosquito)
Lineage: Eukaryota; Metazoa; Arthropoda; Insecta; Diptera; Culicidae
Source: Rfam
CUUCAGUUAGUCUAGUGGUAAAGGCUAUGGAUCGCCAAUUCGGAGACGGCGGGUUCGAUUCCCGUUCUGAUCG